AUUCCAGCUCCAAUAGCGUAUAUUAAAGUUGUUGCAGUUAAAAAGCUCGUAGUUGGAUUUCUGGUGGGAGCGAUCGGUCUGGCGCUUAGCGCGAGUACUUGCAUCGUCUCCGGCCAUCCUUGGGGAGAGUUUGUCUGGCAUUAAGUUGUCGGGCAGAGGAUCCUCAUCGUUUACUGUGAAAAAAUUAGAGUGUUCAAAGCAGGCUUAUGCCGUUGAAUAUAUUAGCAUGGAAUAAUAAGAUAGGACUUUGGUACUAUUUUGUUGGUUUGCGCACCAAAGUAAUGAUUAAUAGGGACAGUUGGGGGUAUUCGUAUUCCGUUGUCAGAGGUGAAAUUCUUGGAUUUACGGAAGACGAACUACUGCGAAAGCAUUUACCAAGGAUGUUUUCAUCG
This 392-nucleotide ribosomal RNA is filed under the name Minutocellus sp. Its description in RNAcentral is "partial small subunit ribosomal RNA". It matches the Rfam family "Eukaryotic small subunit ribosomal RNA", at positions 582 to 975 of the family's 1831-position model. Lineage: Eukaryota; Bacillariophyta; Thalassiosirophyceae; Cymatosirales; Cymatosiraceae. The record is from RNAcentral.